GUUCCAUGCUUAGGCAGAGAUGAGGUAUGGACGGUCCACAGUGGGCUCCUGGCUCCCUCUGUGACCUGGGAAGCAAAACUGUCCCGUCAGACUGCAGCCAUAGGCGGAGGUGAAUCGUCAGGCUGGGGUAAGCCGUUCUUUAUGGCUAGGAGCUAUGACCUGUACAGCCUGAUUCAGUUCCUCAUCACCUGAGGCUGUUACCUAACGGAGAUGUGGUAUCAUUUUAUCAUUGAAAUUAGAAAGAAGCCAAAAGACUACACUAUUAUCAGCUAUCAAACCAAGGGGCUGGCAUGGACAAGGAACUUAUCCACAGUCAAGCUGACACCCAGCCUCCAUGGGAUUCACUUAAAAAAUGUGAGCUCCAGGAAGGUGGAGUUUCACCUUUGUUACUGUCAAGUCUACAACAAGACCUGUUGCAGGAAAUGUUUAUCAUGGAAGAAACGAUGGAAGAACUAUGGGAGCCUGAAGAUAGGGGAGAGUGUUUUGAGACUUUGUCUUCUAUGAAGAGGCCUUGAUCUCAUCUACAAAGGUGAAGAAAUAUUCCCAAGAUCACAAGCUUAAUGGGUCAUCAGUUCAGAGCUAACAUGUAUUUUAUAUAAAGAAACAAAC
Molecule: long non-coding RNA, 609 nt
Filed under: Mus musculus (house mouse)
Lineage: Eukaryota; Metazoa; Chordata; Mammalia; Rodentia; Muridae
Description: predicted gene, 46329
Source: RNAcentral